AUUGAACGCUAGCGGGAUGCUUUACACAUGCAAGUCGAACGGCAGCGCGGACUUCGGUCUGGCGGCGAGUGGCGAACGGGUGAGUAAUGUAUCGGAACGUGCCCAGUAGCGGGGGAUAACUACGCGGAAGCGUAGCUAAUACCGCAUACGCCCUACGGGGGAAAGCAGGGGAUCGUAAGACCUUGCACUAUUGGAGCGGCCGAUAUCGGAUUAGCUAGUUGGUGAGGUAACGGCUCACCAAGGCGACGAUCCGUAGCUGGUUUGAGAGGACGACCAGCCACACUGGGACUGAGACACGGCCCAGACUCCUACGGGAGGCAGCAGUGGGGAAUUUUGGACAAUGGGGGCAACCCUGAUCCAGCCAUCCCGCGUGUGCGAUGAAGGCCUUCGGGUUGUAAAGCACUUUUGGCAGGAAAGAAACGUCGCGGGCUAAUACCCCGUGGAACUGACGGUACCUGCAGAAUAAGCACCGGCUAACUACGUG
This 484-nucleotide ribosomal RNA is filed under the name uncultured bacterium. RNAcentral's name for it is "partial 16S ribosomal RNA". It matches the Rfam family "Bacterial small subunit ribosomal RNA", at positions 30 to 507 of the family's 1533-position model. The record is from RNAcentral.